UACGAAGGGGGCUAGCGUUGCUCGGAAUUACUGGGCGUAAAGGGCGCGUAGGCGGACAGUUUAGUCAGAGGUGAAAGCCCAGGGCUCAACCUUGGAAUUGCCUUUGAUACUGGCUGUCUUGAGUUCGGGAGAGGUGAGUGGAAUGCCGAGUGUAGAGGUGAAAUUCGUAGAUAUUCGGCGGAACCCCAGUGGCGAAGGCGACUCACUGGCCAGAUACUGACGCUAGGCGCGAAAGCGUGGGGAGCAAACAGG
Molecule: ribosomal RNA, 252 nt
Filed under: uncultured bacterium
Lineage: Bacteria
Description: partial 16S ribosomal RNA
Rfam family: Bacterial small subunit ribosomal RNA
Source: RNAcentral